CAUCUGCAUAUUCAGAACAAAAUCAUAAAUUUCUCAAUUUCUCUUCAAAGCCCUGAACCCCCUUUCGAAAUCUCUAAUUUCCUCACGAAUUUACCUCAUAAAUCUCCUCAGCAAAUCUUAAAAGCAAAAUUAGAAAUUGUGCGCUUCAAAUUUCAAAGGUUCUUCAUUAGGAUUAGCUAACUGAGCACCUAAGGUAGCGGAUUGAAAGUAGGCUUCUUUCUCUCUUUAUCUAUCCUAACUUUACAAUCUUGAAUCACAAUGUAUGGAGUUUUGUUUCUAC
Molecule: long non-coding RNA, 280 nt
Filed under: Erythranthe guttata (spotted monkey flower)
Lineage: Eukaryota; Viridiplantae; Streptophyta; Magnoliopsida; Lamiales; Phrymaceae
Description: long non-coding RNA (EGUT_LNC002808)
Source: RNAcentral